AUGUUCAAUAUUGUAGAUGAUAAUGAGGAUAUCCAAGAUGAGGAUUUUGGUGACAAUGAGGUCAAUGCAACACAAUCCAGGAAAUUUGUUAGUGCAAGGGAGUACUACUGCUUCAAGCUACAGGUCAGGAAGAAGCUUUUUAACAUCAUCUUGUUUGGUGGGCGCCUUUUCCAACAGUGGGCGGUUGAUAUGUAUAUCAAGAUUGAGACUAUGAGGUUGGACUGGUACUCAAAGCCAGAAAAUCAAAAGGUUAUACGAGCUGAUCUCUACCAGGGUCUUGUUGACACCAUCGUUGCCGGCGAGUCACGCGGUGAUCGAAUUGGCAAGAGAAUAGUGCUUCCACGUACGUUUCCUGGUGGUGAUCGUGAGAUGCAGCGGAGGUUGUUGGAUGCGAUGGCAAUAGUCCAACGGUGGGGUAAACCGGAUUAUUUUAUCACGAUGACUUGCAAUCCCUAUUGGGAGGAGAUAACCCAUAAUCUGAUGCCUGUACAAUUGCCACAAGACCGUCCAGACCUUGUGGCAAGAGUAUACAAGGCUAAACAACGAGAUAUGAUGGACUUGCUAACUAAGGGUAAGCAUUUCGGAGAAGUCGCCGCUUAUGUACAUGUCACCGAGUUUCAGAAACGAGGCCUUCCUCAUGAGCAUAUACUUUUAAUCAUGAAAACAAAUAGCAAGUUAGCAUCCCCAGAUGACUAUGAUAUCCGCAGAGAUACCUGA
This 717-nucleotide ribosomal RNA is filed under the name Triticum aestivum (bread wheat). RNAcentral's name for it is "partial small subunit ribosomal RNA". Lineage: Eukaryota; Viridiplantae; Streptophyta; Magnoliopsida; Poales; Poaceae. The record is from RNAcentral.